GAUUCUAUCAGCAACCGUCCACGUUUCUAACUUCUAGGCUAUUAGAUAUGGAUACGUACCACAUUCAUCAUGAGCAACCAGACAUGUUAAAAACAUGCGACAUUGAUUUCAUCGGUUGAUUGAUUCUUUUAUCAUAGACUGAACCUGAGGGAUUGAACUAAUAAUUGGUUUAAAGAUGAGUUGAUCUGACGUUGUUACUGAUUACAUUUGCAGGGAGAAAGAACGCAUGGGCAUGUGGAGUGCUGGUACAGACAAGUAUGUACGGCAUUGGGAUUGCCUACACGAUCACUGCUGCAAUUAGCAUGAGGUAAAUUAAUUAAUUGCUAAUCCGUUUAAAUAAACAUAUCAAUUACCCCGCUCGAUAAUGGAAGUUAAUUAUUUCAUUGUUACUUGUAGGGCGAUUCAGGAAUCGGCGUGUAGUAGUAUUUACAAUGAUAAGAAAGGGGGUGGUGGGUGUGAGGGUGGUGGAGGGAUGAGCUCAUACAUGAUAAUGUUCGGAGUGGCGGAGUUGUUCAUGUCUCAAAUCCCAAACUUCCACGACAUUCAGUGGCUUUCCAAUGUCGCCGCCGUCAUGUCUUUCGCUUACUCCUUCAUCGGUCUCGGCCUUGGCUUCGCUCGUGUCUUAGGUACGUAUAACCAGUAACCACAACUCUAUCACAUCUAAUCAAAUGUUUGCUUGAUGUUUUUCUUAUAAAUUAAUUUUUAAUAUAAUUUCGUCUGGAUUUAACUUUCCUGUUUAAAAUACUUCAAAUUUCAUCCAAAUUUCUAUAUGGCAAAUUUGUAGAUAGUUUCACUAAGCUCAAGUGAAUUUUUGGUACUUGUACGUGCCACUAAUUUGAUUCCUCUGUUCUGAUUGAUAGCUCUGUUGUGGAUAAAAUAGCUGAAUUGGGUUUGCUGUCACACUACUAGACAGUUCCUCUAUUUUUUCUUUUAAAAUUGACAUUUUAUCGUNNNNNNNNNNNNNNNNNNNNNNNNNNNNNNNNNNNNNNNNNNNNNNNNNNNNNNNNGCUCUCAAAUGACAGUAUGGGGACUGGAAAAGAUAAGGAAUCAAUCGCAACUGAUUACGACGACAAAACUGUCGCGUUUCUCCAAAACCAACACUCUUCCACCUACUCCUCUUCUUCCUCUUGCGUGAAGGACGACGAAGCUUACCCCGGCAGCGGCGGAGUAUUAGUAAACAGGAGCGGCACGGUAUGGACGGCGGUGGCGCACAGAAACACACGCGGAAACGGAGCGGGAGGAGACUCCCCACAUUUUUCUGGUAAUUCUAACUGAUAAGUAGUAUAACAAUAAUGAACAAUCUGAUAUUCACCAUUAUAGAAAAAAUACAAAGGAUUUAAUUAAUUCCUUAUUAUUUAUUGAUUAAUUUGAUUUAUUUGGUUGGUGAUGACUGAUCAGCUUGUCUGUAAUAAAUUAAAAUUGAUUUUAUGCAAAGAAGUUGUGUACACGGAAACUCUGUGAUUGCCACGCGGAGGCAUUUUUAUGGGGAAUUCGUUCUCCAUUGUUUCCGACUAGCUUUUUGAUUGGUCAACAUCACUGCCCCCAGAUCAUACAAAUAAAAUUUGUCAGGGAUUUAUUUUUCAUGAUUCUAAUUCGAUGACUCUAAAAAUAAAUCAUGAAAAGCUUAUAUAAAGUAUAUAACUAUAUUCAUUUACAUUGCCUAUAUAUCAUAUAUGCAAUAUUUUUAUCUAAUUUAAAUAUUAAAAACAACUUUAAAAUAUAAAAAAUGAAAGAAUAACUAAUUUAGUUACGAUAGUUAAAAUAGAAUUUGAGAUUUGGUUGUGGCACAAAACCCACUUAAGGCCAAAACUAUUAUUGAUGCACCAAAUGGUUUGAGAAAUGAGAUACGUGCCAAACUUUGCAACAAACUUCAUAAAAUUAUUACUUUUAAAGCUGACACGAAAAUUGACGCAGCUUUGCAUAUACUAUCUUGUACUUGUUUGUUUAUUUAAUUAAAUAAUUUGUCUUCCACAUUCCUUUGUUUGUGUCACCUUCCCCAACAUCUAUCUAAUGAACUCAUGCCACGCAUACACAAGAGCCAUAAAUCCAAGUAGGUCCAUUUGCUGACCAUGAUUCUAUCAGCAACCGUCCACGUUUCUAACUUCUAGGCUAUUAGAUAUGGAUACGUACCACAUUCAUCAUGAGCAACCAGACAUGUUAAAAACAUGCGACAUUGAUUUCAUCGGUUGAUUGAUUCUUUUAUCAUAGACUGAACCUGAGGGAUUGAACUAAUAAUUGGUUUAAAGAUGAGUUGAUCUGACGUUGUUACUGAUUACAUUUGCAGGGAGAAAGAACGCAUGGGCAUGUGGAGUGCUGGUACAGACAAGUAUGUACGGCA
Molecule: long non-coding RNA, 2338 nt
Filed under: Linum usitatissimum (flax)
Lineage: Eukaryota; Viridiplantae; Streptophyta; Magnoliopsida; Malpighiales; Linaceae
Description: long non-coding RNA (LUSI_LNC006803)
Source: RNAcentral